AGAGCGGGUGCGAGGCGGGCACAAAGGGUCUCUGUUUUCGGGGGCUAAGUGGCACUCAGUUGAUCAAUUACCAGAUCAAUUGACUUCUCAAAUUCUAAUAUAAAUAAGAAUCACUUGACUCUCUUGUUAAAAUGCGGAUUCUGAUCCAGAAGGUCUGGGGUGGAGACCUGAGAUCCUGCAUUUCUAAUAAGCUCCCAGGUGGCGAUGACGAAGCUCUUGGUCGGAGGAUCACGCUUUGAAUUGCACCUGUCCGAAAGUAAUGGCUGUAGCCCCAGCUCCACGUAAUUUGAAACUUGCACGACCUUUCUUGUCCUUCUUCCACUGAUGAGAAGCGUUCCUGUGGCUACAUGGGGUGUCCCGGUGAUGCUUACAGUUUGGGCACCAGCUGAGGGAAGGUGUGUUUAAUCCCCACAUUACCCACCCUUGGUCUAUGGAGCAGCAAUCAUGCCAACUUGGUGACUGGAGUGUGGAACCAGAAGUGGAGACGGAAUGGCCAUGGAAGAGAACACUGUGUCUACGUUAAUCCUAAAGGGUUGGGCGUGUGUGUCUGA
RNAcentral lists this long non-coding RNA (551 nucleotides) under Homo sapiens (human). RNAcentral's name for it is "non-protein coding lnc-NPHP3-ACAD11-1:5". Lineage: Eukaryota; Metazoa; Chordata; Mammalia; Primates; Hominidae. The record is from RNAcentral.